CCGCUGGCCUACACCAAAGUCACAGCAACGUGGGAUCCAAGCCGCAUCUGCAACCUACACUACAGCUCACGGCAACGCUGGAUCCUUAACCCACUGAGCAAGGUCAGGGACCGAACCCGCAACCUCAUGAUUCCUAGUCAGAUUCAUUAACCACUGAGCCACGACAGGAACUCCCAACAUUCUGUUUCUUAACAGAGGGAAUAGUGAUAGCCAACAUGCACUCACUCUAAAUUAUGCAUAUAUGUUUUGUACUCUUCUGAAUACAUACAUGAUAUAAUGUGUACUUUCGCAAAAUGAAAAAAUAAUGUGGACGUGGUAGUCUACAGAAUGGGAUGGAGAAGAGACACUUUGGAAUCAAAGACGCAGGAAGGAAGCUGGUGCUGAGAUGGAGGCUGAGGGUGAGGAAGGUGUGGAGUAGACCAUUGAGAGUAGGGAUGCAGGGGGAGGAGAGGUGAGAGAUGCUUCCUGCGUGAACGGGGCCAUGAGCAAAAUAUAGCUCCAGAUAUGGAUAAUGAUGACAGAGGGUAGUUGAGAGGGAAGGACCUGGCUGGGGUGUGUGGUUACAUUUUGAACCCGUUCAGCUGGGACCAUCCAAACUGCGGGUCUGUAAUAUCAUUGGGUGGAAGGAGCAGAAGCCCGGUUGAGCUAACUCAAGUGGGGAUCUAGAAACUCAGAAGCAGACGCCCUGGAGCGCACGUGGUUUUUGUUCUGCUCUUCUCACAUCUGCCGACUAGGUUCUUCUGCUUCCUCGGAGGGAGGGCCCACCUAGCAGAAGCUGGAGAGCCCUGGGAACCCCGCAGGGAGGCAAGGCCACUUCAGAGCAGCCUGAUGGAGGCAUCCUUGGAAAGUCUGUCACAGCUGUCUAGCAGUGACCUGCUGGGUGAUGAACAGGGAAUUAUAUAAAGUAAAUGAACAAUAUAGAAGAAAAGGAGGAAGAAGAUGGGGGAAAGAGAAGAGGAGUAGAAGGAGGAGGUGGAGAAGAAAGCAUUGUUUUUUAAAAGCCCAGCCCUGAACGUAAAACCUUUGAAUAACUUCCCAUUGCUCGUUGGAUAAUCACUCCCCCCUUCACACCUCUCCCCGUCUCUCCCCACCCCUUCCAGUUAUAGGAGGUUUCUGGGGCCUGCUAGGAUGUGUUCACACAGCCCUGUGGGAAAUUGCCCCAUGGGGUUGCAGCAACUGAAUCAGGGGGAGGGGGUGGGGGGUACCAUAAUGGGCUCUUCGUAAGGAGCAUAGAGCACUGCACGAAGCGGGGUUUGGUCCCCGGUCUGUGACUCUAGGACCAUGGGAAAAUGACCGUCUAAGCCUCCUGUUCUUGGCCUGGGCAGUGAAUGGGGAGAAUGCGCCCUGUCCUGCCUGCCUUACUGGGAGGCUCAGGUGAGAUAAAGAGCCUAGAAACCUUUGUGAAUUAUCCAGUGCUGAACAAGUAAGGGAUUGCUCCUACUACUGAGUAAACUACCUUGAGAAGUGUCAGAAGCCCGCCUCCUUCAUCUCUCAGUGCUUUUCUUUCUAAUAAUCCUUUAUGUCAUUAUAACACUUGAU
RNAcentral lists this long non-coding RNA (1539 nucleotides) under Sus scrofa (pig). Its description in RNAcentral is "lncRNA (ENSSSCG00065017959.1)". The record is from RNAcentral. Lineage: Eukaryota; Metazoa; Chordata; Mammalia; Artiodactyla; Suidae.